Molecule: transfer RNA, 90 nt
Filed under: Streptomyces chryseus
Lineage: Bacteria; Bacillati; Actinomycetota; Actinomycetes; Kitasatosporales; Streptomycetaceae
Description: tRNA-Arg
Source: RNAcentral
GGCCGCCUGGCUCGACCGGAUGGUGCGCCGGUCGGUGGAGCGGAGCGACCCGAGGGCGUUCCGCGCCUGGUUCGACUCCUGGGCCGGUGA